This 410-nucleotide ribosomal RNA is filed under the name uncultured bacterium. Its description in RNAcentral is "bacterial SSU rRNA". It matches the Rfam family "Bacterial small subunit ribosomal RNA", at positions 364 to 771 of the family's 1533-position model. The record is from RNAcentral.
UUGGUCAAUGGACGGAAGUCUGAACCAGCCAUGCCGCGUGAAGGAUGAAGGCGUUCUGCGUUGUAAACUUCUUUUAUCUGGGAAGAAACCACAGAUUUCUAUUUGUGUUGACGGUACCAGAGGAAUAAGCACCGGCUAGCUCCGUGCCAGCAGCCGCGGUAAUACGGAGGGUGCGAGCGUUAUCCGGAUUUACUGGGUUUAGAGGGUGCGUAGGCGGGCUAUUAAGUCAGAGGUGAAAUCUCCGGGCUCAACCUGGAAACUGCCCUGGAUACUCGUAGCCUUGAAUUAUGUUGAGGUUGGAGGAAUAUAACAUUUAGCGGUGAAAGGCUUAGAUAUGUUAUGGAACACCGAUUGCGAAGGCAGCUAGCUAAACAUAUAUUGACGCUUAUGCACGAAAGCUUGGGUAGCGA